UUUUGGCUAGAAUGAGAGCAAAGAUCAAUCCGAAGAACCUGAAAGGCCUGGUGCUGUUAUAUCUAAUCAUGUAUCAUAUCUGGAUAUUUUGUAUCAUAUGUCUUCUUCUUUUCCAAGAUUUGUUGCCAAGAGAUCAGUGGCUAAACUCCCUCUAGUUGGUCUCAUCAGCAAAUGCCUGGGAUGUGUGUACGUUCAGCGGGAGUCAAAAUCGACCGAUUUUAAAGGUGUUUCAGGUGUUGUGACUGAAAGAGUUCAAGAAGCUCAUCAGAAUAAGUCUGCUCCAAUAAUGAUGCUUUUUCCAGGUUCUUGUCCUUAUAUACU
Non-coding RNA from Carica papaya (papaya), 321 nucleotides. Lineage: Eukaryota; Viridiplantae; Streptophyta; Magnoliopsida; Brassicales; Caricaceae. The record is from RefSeq and is a predicted model, not a curated record.